CCAAUAGCGUAUAUUAAAGUUGUUGCAGUUAAAAAGCUCGUAGUUGAAUUUCGGAAUCAAUGGGUUGGUCAUGCCCUCGGUAUGUACUGAUUUCAUUGGUUCUCACCUUCUAAGGAACCAUGAUGUCAUUUAUUUGAUGUUGUGGGAAAUUAGGACUGUUACCUUGAAAAAAUUAGAGUGUUUAAAGCAGGCUAACGCUUGAAUACAUUAGCAUGGAAUAAUGAAAUAGGACAUCCGAUUCUAUUUUGUUGGUUUCUAGGAUCGAUGUAAUGAUUAAUAGGGAUAGUUGGGGGCAUUAGUAUUCAAUUGUCAGAGGUGAAAUUCUUGGAUUUAUUGAAGACUAACUACUGCGAAAGCAUUUGCCAAGGAUGUUUUCAUUAAUCAAGAACGAAAGUUAGGGGAUCGAAGACGAUCAGAUACCGUCGUAGUCUUAACCAUAAACUAUGCCGACUAGGGAUCGGAUGAUGCUUAUUUUUUAAUGACUCAUUCGGCACCUUACG
This 500-nucleotide ribosomal RNA is filed under the name uncultured Glomeromycotina. RNAcentral's name for it is "partial small subunit ribosomal RNA". It matches the Rfam family "Eukaryotic small subunit ribosomal RNA", at positions 591 to 1092 of the family's 1831-position model. The record is from RNAcentral. Lineage: Eukaryota; Fungi; Glomeromycota.